RNAcentral lists this ribosomal RNA (2900 nucleotides) under Escherichia coli DEC1B. RNAcentral's name for it is "bacterial LSU rRNA". It matches the Rfam family "Bacterial large subunit ribosomal RNA". The record is from RNAcentral. Lineage: Bacteria; Pseudomonadati; Pseudomonadota; Gammaproteobacteria; Enterobacterales; Enterobacteriaceae.
UAAGCGACUAAGCGUACACGGUGGAUGCCCUGGCAGUCAGAGGCGAUGAAGGACGUGCUAAUCUGCGAUAAGCGUCGGUGAGGUGAUAUGAACCGUUAUAACCGGCGAUUUCCGAAUGGGGAAACCCAGUGUGAUUCGUCACACUAUCAUUAACUGAAUCCAUAGGUUAAUGAGGCGAACCGGGGGAACUGAAACAUCUAAGUACCCCGAGGAAAAGAAAUCAACCGAGAUUCCCCCAGUAGCGGCGAGCGAACGGGGAGGAGCCCAGAGCCUGAAUCAGUGUGUGUGUUAGUGGAAGCGUCUGGAAAGGCGUGCGAUACAGGGUGACAGCCCCGUACACAAAAAUGCACAUAUUGUGAGCUCGAUGAGUAGGGCGGGACACGUGGUAUCCUGUCUGAAUAUGGGGGGACCAUCCUCCAAGGCUAAAUACUCCUGACUGACCGAUAGUGAACCAGUACCGUGAGGGAAAGGCGAAAAGAACCCCGGCGAGGGGAGUGAAAAAGAACCUGAAACCGUGUACGUACAAGCAGUGGGAGCCUCUUAAUGGGGUGACUGCGUACCUUUUGUAUAAUGGGUCAGCGACUUAUAUUCUGUAGCAAGGUUAACCGAAUAGGGGAGCCGAAGGGAAACCGAGUCUUAACUGGGCGUUAAGUUGCAGGGUAUAGACCCGAAACCCGGUGAUCUAGCCAUGGGCAGGUUGAAGGUUGGGUAACACUAACUGGAGGACCGAACCGACUAAUGUUGAAAAAUUAGCGGAUGACUUGUGGCUGGGGGUGAAAGGCCAAUCAAACCGGGAGAUAGCUGGUUCUCCCCGAAAGCUAUUUAGGUAGCGCCUCGUGAAUUCAUCUCCGGGGGUAGAGCACUGUUUCGGCAAGGGGGUCAUCCCGACUUACCAACCCGAUGCAAACUGCGAAUACCGGAGAAUGUUAUCACGGGAGACACACGGCGGGUGCUAACGUCCGUCGUGAAGAGGGAAACAACCCAGACCGCCAGCUAAGGUCCCAAAGUCAUGGUUAAGUGGGAAACGAUGUGGGAAGGCCCAGACAGCCAGGAUGUUGGCUUAGAAGCAGCCAUCAUUUAAAGAAAGCGUAAUAGCUCACUGGUCGAGUCGGCCUGCGCGGAAGAUGUAACGGGGCUAAACCAUGCACCGAAGCUGCGGCAGCGACACUAUGUGUUGUUGGGUAGGGGAGCGUUCUGUAAGCCUGUGAAGGUGGCCUGUGAGGGUUGCUGGAGGUAUCAGAAGUGCGAAUGCUGACAUAAGUAACGAUAAAGCGGGUGAAAAGCCCGCUCGCCGGAAGACCAAGGGUUCCUGUCCAACGUUAAUCGGGGCAGGGUGAGUCGACCCCUAAGGCGAGGCCGAAAGGCGUAGUCGAUGGGAAACAGGUUAAUAUUCCUGUACUUGGUGUUACUGCGAAGGGGGGACGGAGAAGGCUAUGUUGGCCGGGCGACGGACGUCCCGGUUUAAGCGUGUAGGCUGGUUUUCCAGGCAAAUCCGGAAAACCAAGGCUGAGGCGUGAUGACGAGGCACUACGGUGCUGAAGUGACAAAUGCCCUGCUUCCAGGAAAAGCCUCUAAGCAUCAGGUAACAUCAAAUCGUACCCCAAACCGACACAGGUGGUCAGGUAGAGAAUACCAAGGCGCUUGAGAGAACUCGGGUGAAGGAACUAGGCAAAAUGGUGCCGUAACUUCGGGAGAAGGCACGCUGAUAUGUAGGUGAAGCGACUUGCUCGUGGAGCUGAAAUCAGUCGAAGAUACCAGCUGGCUGCAACUGUUUAUUAAAAACACAGCACUGUGCAAACACGAAAGUGGACGUAUACGGUGUGACGCCUGCCCGGUGCCGGAAGGUUAAUUGAUGGGGUUAGCGGCAACGCGAAGCUCUUGAUCGAAGCCCCGGUAAACGGCGGCCGUAACUAUAACGGUCCUAAGGUAGCGAAAUUCCUUGUCGGGUAAGUUCCGACCUGCACGAAUGGCGUAAUGAUGGCCAGGCUGUCUCCACCCGAGACUCAGUGAAAUUGAACUCGCUGUGAAGAUGCAGUGUACCCGCGGCAAGACGGAAAGACCCCGUGAACCUUUACUAUAGCUUGACACUGAACAUUGAGCCUUGAUGUGUAGGAUAGGUGGGAGGCUUUGAAGUGUGGACGCCAGUCUGCAUGGAGCCGACCUUGAAAUACCACCCUUUAAUGUUUGAUGUUCUAACGUUGGCCCGUAAUCCGGGUUGCGGACAGUGUCUGGUGGGUAGUUUGACUGGGGCGGUCUCCUCCUAAAGAGUAACGGAGGAGCACGAAGGUUGGCUAAUCCUGGUCGGACAUCAGGAGGUUAGUGCAAUGGCAUAAGCCAGCUUGACUGCGAGCGUGACGGCGCGAGCAGGUGCGAAAGCAGGUCAUAGUGAUCCGGUGGUUCUGAAUGGAAGGGCCAUCGCUCAACGGAUAAAAGGUACUCCGGGGAUAACAGGCUGAUACCGCCCAAGAGUUCAUAUCGACGGCGGUGUUUGGCACCUCGAUGUCGGCUCAUCACAUCCUGGGGCUGAAGUAGGUCCCAAGGGUAUGGCUGUUCGCCAUUUAAAGUGGUACGCGAGCUGGGUUUAGAACGUCGUGAGACAGUUCGGUCCCUAUCUGCCGUGGGCGCUGGAGAACUGAGGGGGGCUGCUCCUAGUACGAGAGGACCGGAGUGGACGCAUCACUGGUGUUCGGGUUGUCAUGCCAAUGGCACUGCCCGGUAGCUAAAUGCGGAAGAGAUAAGUGCUGAAAGCAUCUAAGCACGAAACUUGCCCCGAGAUGAGUUCUCCCUGACCCUUUAAGGGUCCUGAAGGAACGUUGAAGACGACGACGUUGAUAGGCCGGGUGUGUAAGCGCAGCGAUGCGUUGAGCUAACCGGUACUAAUGAACCGUGAGGCUUAACCU